GAGUUUGAUCUUGGCUCAGGAUGAACGCUAGCGGCAGGCUUAACACAUGCAAGUCGAGGGGCAGCACGAUGUAGCAAUACAUGGGUGGCGACCGGCGCACGGGUGCGUAACACGUAUGGAAUCUGCCUUGUACUGGGAGAUAGCCCUCCGAAAGGAGGAUUAAUAUCCCAUAAUAGUUCGAGUGGCAUCACUUGGAUUUGAAAGCUCCGGCGGUACAAGAUGACCAUGCGCACGAUUAGCUAGUUGGUGAGGUAAUGGCUCACCAAGGCUACGAUCGUUAGGGGGCCUGAGAGGGUUAUCCCCCACACUGGUACUGAGACACGGACCAGACUCCUACGGGAGGCAGCAGUGAGGAAUAUUGCGCAAUGGAGGCAACUCUGACGCAGCCAUGCCGCGUGCAGGAAGAAGGCGCUACGCGUUGUAAACUGCUUUUAACCGGGAAGAAACCCCCAGGACGUGUCCUGGGGUUGAC
RNAcentral lists this ribosomal RNA (472 nucleotides) under uncultured Flavobacterium sp. RNAcentral's name for it is "bacterial SSU rRNA". It matches the Rfam family "Bacterial small subunit ribosomal RNA", at positions 9 to 473 of the family's 1533-position model. The record is from RNAcentral. Lineage: Bacteria; Pseudomonadati; Bacteroidota; Flavobacteriia; Flavobacteriales; Flavobacteriaceae.